GACGAACGCUGGCGGCGUGCUUAACACAUGCAAGUCGAACGGAAAGGCCCUGCUUUUGUGGGGCGCUCGAGUGGCGAACGGGUGAGUAACACGUGAGUAACCUGCCCUUGACUUUGGGAUAACUUCAGGAAACUGGGGCUAAUACCGGAUAGGAGCUCCUGCUGCAUGGUGGGGGUUGGAAAGUUUCGGCGGUUGGGGAUGGACUCGCGGCUUAUCAGCUUGUUGGUGGGGUAGUGGCUUACCAAGGCUUUGACGGGUAGCCGGCCUGAGAGGGUGACCGGCCACAUUGGGACUGAGAUACGGCCCAGACUCCUACGGGAGGCAGCAGUGGGGAAUAUUGCACAAUGGGCGGAAGCCUGAUGCAGCAACGCCGCGUGCGGGAUGACGGCCUUCGGGUUGUAAACCGCUUUCGCCUGUGACGAAGCGUGAGUGACGGUAAUGGGUAAAGAAGCACCGGCUAACUACGUGCCAGCAGCCGCGGUGAUACGUAGGGUGCGAGCGUUGUCCGGAUUUAUUGGGCGUAAAGGGCUCGUAGGUGGUUGAUCGCGUCGGAAGUGUAAUCUUGGGGCUUAACCCUGAGCGUGCUUUCGAUACGGGUUGACUUGAGGAAGGUAGGGGAGAAUGGAAUUCCUGGUGGAGCGGUGGAAUGCGCAGAUAUCAGGAGGAACACCAGUGGCGAAGGCGGUUCUCUGGGCCUUUCCUGACGCUGAGGAGCGAAAGCGUGGGGAGCGAACAGGCUUAGAUACCCUGGUAGUCCACGCUGUAAACGGUGGGUACUAGGUGUGGGGUCCAUUCCACGGGUUCCGUGCCGUAGCUAACGCUUUAAGUACCCCGCCUGGGGAGUACGGCCGCAAGGCUAAAACUCAAAGGAAUUGACGGGGCCCCGCACAAGCGGCGGAGCAUGCGGAUUAAUUCGAUGCAACGCGUAGAACCUUACCUGGGUUUGACAUGGAUCGGGAGUGCUCAGAGAUGGGUGUGCCUCUUUUGGGGUCGGUUCACAGGUGGUGCAUGGCUGUCGUCAGCUCGUGUCGUGAGAUGUUGGGUUAAGUCCCGCAACGAGCGCAACCCUUGUUCACUGUUGCCAGCACGUUAUGGUGGGGACUCAGUGGAGACCGCCGGGGUCAACUCGGAGGAAGGUGGGGAUGACGUCAAGUCAUCAUGCCCCUUAUGUCCAGGGCUUCACGCAUGCUACAAUGGCUGGUACAGAGAGUGGCGAGCCUGUGAGGGUGAGCGAAUCUCGGAAAGCCGGUCUCAGUUCGGAUUGGGGUCUACAACUCGACCUCAUGAAGUCGGAGUCGCUAGUAAUCGCAGAUCAGCAACGCUGCGGUGAAAACGUUCCCGGGGCU
Molecule: ribosomal RNA, 1346 nt
Filed under: uncultured bacterium
Lineage: Bacteria
Description: partial 16S ribosomal RNA
Rfam family: Bacterial small subunit ribosomal RNA
Source: RNAcentral